This is a non-coding RNA of Schistosoma margrebowiei, 46 nucleotides long. The record is from Rfam. NCBI's taxonomy places the organism in Eukaryota, Metazoa, Platyhelminthes, Trematoda, Strigeidida, Schistosomatidae.
AUCCAACUGAAGAGUUUCAAAAUAGGACGGAACGUGCAUCCUGGAU